UACAGAGGUGCCAAGCGUUAGGCGGAAUCACUGGGCUUAAAGCGCGUGUAGGUGGACGGGUAAGUAUCUUGUGAAAUCCCACGGCUCAACCGUGGAACUGCUGGAUAUACUGCUUGUCUUGAGGCACUUAGGGGCAGCUGGAACAAAUGGUGGGGCGGUGAAAUGCGUAGAUAUCAUUUGGAACGCCAAAGGCGAAAGCAGGCUGCUGGGAGUGAUCUGACACUGAGACGCGAAAGCCAGGGGAGCAAACGGG
This 253-nucleotide ribosomal RNA is filed under the name uncultured bacterium. RNAcentral's name for it is "partial 16S ribosomal RNA". It matches the Rfam family "Bacterial small subunit ribosomal RNA", at positions 524 to 776 of the family's 1533-position model. The record is from RNAcentral.